Non-coding RNA from Podarcis lilfordi (Lilford's wall lizard), 78 nucleotides. NCBI's taxonomy places the organism in Eukaryota, Metazoa, Chordata, Lepidosauria, Squamata, Lacertidae. The record is from the annotation of a GenBank genome assembly.
GCCCAAGCUCAGUGGCAGAGCAUCUGCUUUGCAUACAAAAGGUCCCAGGUUCAAUCCCUGACCUCUCCAGGUGGGGCU